UGGCGAACGGGUGAGUAACACGUGGAUAACCUACCUAUAAGACUGGGAUAACUUCGGGAAACCGGAGCUAAUACCGGAUAAUAUAUUGAACCGCAUGGUUCAAUAGUGAAAGACGGUUUUGCUGUCACUUAUAGAUGGAUCCGCGCCGCAUUAGCUAGUUGGUAAGGUAACGGCUUACCAAGGCAACGAUGCGUAGCCGACCUGAGAGGGUGAUCGGCCACACUGGAACUGGGACACGGUCCAG
RNAcentral lists this ribosomal RNA (244 nucleotides) under uncultured Staphylococcus sp. RNAcentral's name for it is "partial 16S ribosomal RNA". It matches the Rfam family "Bacterial small subunit ribosomal RNA", at positions 96 to 334 of the family's 1533-position model. Lineage: Bacteria; Bacillati; Bacillota; Bacilli; Caryophanales; Staphylococcaceae. The record is from RNAcentral.